Molecule: ribosomal RNA, 256 nt
Filed under: uncultured bacterium
Lineage: Bacteria
Description: partial 16S ribosomal RNA
Rfam family: Bacterial small subunit ribosomal RNA
Source: RNAcentral
UACGUAGGGACCAAGCGUUGUUCGGAUUUACUGGGCGUAAAGGGCGCGUAGGCGGCGUGGUAAGUCACUUGUGAAAUCUCUGAGCUUAACUCAGAACGGCCAAGUGAUACUGCUGUGCUAGAGUGCAGAAGGGGCAAUCGGAAUUCUUGGUGUAGCGGUGAAAUGCGUAGAUAUCAAGAGGGAACACCUGGAGGUGAAGACGGGUUGCUGGGCUGACACGUGACGCUAAGGCGCGAAAGCCAGGGGAGCAAACGGG